AGGCCGACUUACGACGAGCUGACUUCAUAUUUAGACGACGUGCCAUGGAAGAUGCAUACAUGGCAUUGAAGUUUAUAAGAAACAUUCAUGACAUGAUGGCAAACAAAUUUUACCAAUUUCCUUCAAAUGAAAGGUCUUUCUCUCUCAAAGAUAAAAUG
Long non-coding RNA from Zingiber officinale, 158 nucleotides. RefSeq lists it as uncharacterized. The transcript has 3 exons. The record is from RefSeq and is a predicted model, not a curated record. NCBI's taxonomy places the organism in Eukaryota, Viridiplantae, Streptophyta, Magnoliopsida, Zingiberales, Zingiberaceae.